UAUGCUCUGACACAUCUACAUGGUGUCAGAAGUGGUCGAUUACCGACCGAGAAACGCAACCGACGGAUGAAGAGCGAUCGCGCAGCCAGCUAACCUGGAAGGCUCCAAGUUCCAUCGGAACAGCAACAUGGCGGACCACGUGCAGCAACCUCGCCCGCAGCCAACCACCCCAGUCACUACGCUACUGCCACCUGCGAGAGCGCUGGACGCAAGGGGAGACCUUUGGCACAACUGGAAGGCAUGGAGGCAAGAGUUCGAGCCCUUAACCACUGCAAUGUACCUGGACCAGCAGCCGAAAGAGGUACAGACAGCCGCUUUUCUCAUCAGUAUUGCAGAGGAAGCGCGCAAAACCUACAGCACUUUCGUAUUCCAUUCUGGAGCGACAUUGAAGUACUGAAGGGAAAGUUUGAAGCGUUCUAUAAACCAGCGCUAAACCAUUGGAAAGCGUGACCAAAAAAAAAAAAAGACGGAAGUUUUAACUACUGGUUAACUGAGCUGCAUGUACCUGCAAGGCGCUGUGAAUUCGUGGAAUUGGAAGAACUCAUGCUAAGAAACAGAAUCAUUUUUGGAAUAAGAGACAAGAAACUUCAAGAAAAACUUCUUUCAGAAGAUGCUUCUUUUGCCAAAACUGUUGAAAUGUGCCCAGUUCGGCAACACGGUUAAGUACAAAGCGAACAAAUUCAGUCUCGCAGGAAAAGUCAGGUAGAAGUCAACGCAGUUUCCCAAGUGAAAAGUCAGUGCUGUAGCAUAUGUGCAAAAAUCCGCGAGGACCAGGAAGCAUGCCCCGCAAAGGGACACACGUGCGUAAAAUGCGGCAAAAAAAGUAAUUUUGCAGCCGCACGCAAAACCAGGAGCGUAAAUCUUGUCGCGAAAGAGCAAAAAUUGGCAUCACACGAAGCCGAUGCAGACAGACAGGCAGACGAUUUCUGGUUGGAAAUGUUAUCGCAAAGCCACCAAAAAAAUGAUACUCGCUGGACUGCAAUCGUAAAAAUAGAAGGAACACCCGUCGUCAGCAAGCUCGACACAGGCGCGAACUGUUCAGUCAUACCACGCAGUCAUCUGCAGAAUAUAACGCAAAGGCAGCCCAGAGACUGCGCUGUCGUUCUAAACACGUUUUUUUUUUGGCUUUCAGAAAAAAAGCAACAAAAUGUAUUUGACUACAUGCGACCGGCCUUGAGGGAACGGUUGAAACGGAAUCGUUCGUGGGUGAAGACGAUGUAUCCGUGACUUUAAGCGGCGCAUUGGCAGAGAAGCUAGGCUUGGUUCGUUGAAUUGCUUCACUGCAGUAACAAGGUUCCUAAGGCGUAGUAAGCCUUAUGAAGAUGUUUUCGCUGGAUUAGGCGAGCUUAAGUGCUUCAUACACCACCUGAAGCUCAAAGCGGGUUCCCAAGGAGUGGUCAAGUGAGAACGCCAGAUCCCGUUUGCCGUCGAGUACAAAGUCGGAACUGGACCGCAUGGAAGCAGGCGGAGUAGUUUCCAAGGUGACGAAGCCAACAAAAUGGUCCAGCCACGUGGUUAUCGUCACAAAGAACGACAAGCUACGGGUAUGUCUUGAUCCAUCUGAUUUUAACAGAGCGUGGUCGAGGGAACAUUAUCCAAUGCCAACGCUAGAAUAUAUUGCACCGUCUCUGAGCGGAACACAGUACUAGGAUUUUGGCAGAUGAAACUGUAUGAAUAAAACUAAAAAAAUUGCGCGAUGAGUACCCCGUUCGGUCGUUAGGUUCCUACGUUUGCCCUUCGGUAUUUCUUCGGCUCCAGAAAUAUUUCGGCGUGCCAUGCAGAAAGUAGUAGAGGGUUUCGCAAGCGUGGGAGUCGUUAUGGGCGACAUUUCAAUCCGGGGCCGAACUAAAGAAGAGCAUGACAAAAACCUUGUCAACGUGCUGCAAAAAUGCCGAGAGAACAACUAGAAGCUAAACAACAAAAACUAUAACUUCUUCCAGGAAGCUGUCAACUACCUCGGGCACGUGUUAACAAGUGAAGGGUUAAGCCUGUAUCCAGGGAGACGGGUAGACAUCCCUCACGUGCAGGCCCCUUGCAACUAGAAAGAGCUAAAUACAUUCUUGCGUAUGAUGAAUUUCGUUUCCCGCUUCUUUCCGAAUGUGUACACACUCACAGCUCCGUUCCGAGAACUCUUGGGGGGGAAAAAAAGCCGCAUGGGUUUGGGAGGACAGACAUCAAGCGAGCUUUGAAGCACUCGCAAGAGCUGCCGUAUUAGCAUGCUACCAGAAAGGAAAACCAAUCGCCCUUUCAGUAGACGCCAGCCAAAGUGGAAUUGGCGUCGCGAUAAUGCACGAUGGGCACCCGUUAGCUCUCUUAUCUAGCUUAUCUACGGAAAAGUGUAUAACUGUUAAGUACACUCCAGGAAAACAACUCUUCACCGCUGAGGCGCUAUCACGUUUUCCGAAUAAAGCCCAGCUCGAAGAAGAGUGCGCUAAUUUCUAUGUUAACGCUACCGCGUGCCUUCAAGUUUCCGACAGGCGCCUGGAUCAAGUCCUGCAGCAGACGCGCUGUGACCCCAGCAUAAUGCAACCUCGCCAGUGUGCAAGCACAGCGUGGCCCCACGACAAAACUGGCGUCACUCCCGAGUUACGCUUCCGCGAAGAGCUGCAUACUCAAGAUCACCACAUGUUCUGGAGCAGUCGCCUCAUCAUUCCUGCCAGACGGCGCAGCGAGGUACUUGGUUCUGUACACGCUGCAGACAGGCUAACGCUAUGGUUCUACAAACCGAUGGUGCUUGUCCUCUGUCAACCAGUGCACAGCCAAGGCACAAAAUCUGCAAUUCUGGAGACAGUGCCUUUUGAGUGGGUGCAUGGCGCCACGUUAUAGCCCAAAGUGAUGUCAACAGAUGACUCCCCGUGAAUAGGACGUGACAGGCCAAAAAUCUUUCUAUCAAAGACGGUUGCUCUUGCGAUGGUGUCUUCUUAGCGAGUGUCUCCAAGCGAAAUAGAGAAAAUUGCUGCUUCGCUGUCAUUGCGAGGCAAUCAUGCGACGACUAUUAUGCGCACUGAGUCUCGCACUGUUUCCCGCUGCAUCUCGCCGUUGACGUAAAUGGUCGCAUACGCGUGCGGGCGAUCUCAUUUCGUGAAGGAGAAAAAAAAAAGAUAACAAUCGAAAUUACGUAAUUGGCGACUGCAGUCCCGGUCGUCCUUCCUCGACUAUAUAAUAGACCGUUCUCAGAGGCAAGAUCCUUGGUGUUCUUUGUGGAAGUGACCCUCCAUGGUGAAGAACGGUAGAGACGUCAUUUUUGGGAUUCCUGUGACAGACACUGGCGCCACCGGCGACGCAAGCUGAGAUAAAAAUUUUGGAGGAUGCUUAAGCUUGGUCUUUAGGAGUGCAACGCGAUAGCAUUCAAGAUUGCCUGACUGUUUCUCACGCUUCUCAGCAAUUGCAGCUUUUGUAACCCUAAUGUCUACCGGGAAACGCUGGCGACGAACGUUAUGCACGAAGGCGCACGGAGGAGGAAAAGGAAGGAAGGAAAGGUAGGGAGGUCAACGAAGGCGAGCUUUCUGAUAAAAACACGGCCUCUUGCGUGCGCCGAUACCGGAGCUAGUCCAGGGCUGCGCCAAAAGAUUUACGCCAUUUUCAGGUAUUCGUUAUUGUUCCACACUUUUCAUAUUUAAGUCUGAGGAGAUCUAACAUAAAAGCCACGUGCUGUCGCUCUUUUGUUUCAUGACAUUUGUUUAUGGGCUGUCAUUCUCAAAUUUCCGAGGAAUAACAUUUUCAAGAAUAUAAGCAAGGUGACAGAAUGUGAAUUUAGUGACAGAAUAGUGCCGCAGUAUAACUCGCAUAUACUGCAUGUCAUAUAGCAAGACGUGGCAUGUCAUCAUCAACGUCAUCAGCCUGGUUACGCCAACUGCAGGGCAAAGGCCUCUCCCAUACUUCUCCAACAACCCCGGUCAUGUACUAAUUGUGGCCAUCUCGUCCCUGCAAACUUCUUAAUCUAAUCCGCCCACCUAACUUUCUGCCGCCCCCUGCUACGCUUCCCCUUCCCUUGGAAUCCAGUCCGUAACCCUUAAUGACCAUCGGUUAUCUUCCCUCCUCAUUACAUGUCCUGCCCAUGCCCAUUUCUUUUUCUUGAUUUCAACUAAGAUACCUCCUGUAUGAACACAACGUGGCAUGUACAUAAAUCUAAAUAUAUACGGAAAUUUUUGCUUACGGACAACUUCACUGACGCCGACGCUGACACUAUCACCGGAUUUUCUACGACACGGGGCCCUUAAGAGGAAGCUUUAGCUCGGGUGCUGCUAUCUACAUACAUGUAAAAGGAGAAUUCAUUUUUCUCGGCAACCACUACACCAAAUUUGACGAGGUUUAAUGGAUUUUAAAGAAAAACCUAAAUUCUAGUGACUGUUGGUUUCGGAUUUUUUAUUUAGGUCAUCAAUUUUUUUAUAAAAAGUUAGCAGGAAUAAAAACAAAGUUAGGCAAAAGAAAUUAUCAAGUUUACAACUCUGUAACUCGGCAAUGAAAACCGAUCUCACAAUUAUGGGAAUUGCAUCUAAUAGUACAUCAAAAGCGCGCAAAUUCGAUAUGUUAACCAUAAAUCUUAAAAACAUUACUAAUAUGGAAAUACAGCUCUUGCAGAACCCUUGUGUACAACGUGACAAAUUCACGUAAGAUAUAGUUUGGCAUAUCAAAUUUGCCCGCUUUGAAUGAUCUAAUGGAUGCCGUUUACAGAACCGCCAUUUGUUUUUGAUGCACAGCUAUCUAUUUGCAAUCUUUGUGUUUCUAUUUGUUUCAAACUUUCGAAUUUUCGAAAAUUGCUUUUCCGAAAUUCAGGCCCUAAAUCGAAAUUCCACUUCCAACAGUCACUAGAAUUUACCUUUAUCUCUAAGAUGCCACAAAUUUUGCGUUUUUGCGUUUUACAUGUAUUUGAAUAGGCCGCGUUGGAGUUGGACCCGAGCGAAAGCUUCCUCUUAAUGGGAAGCUUUAGCUCGGGCUAAAGCUUUAACGGCCUAUUGACUUAACUUUUUUUUUUUACCGCGAGAGCCUUUCUUCGCUUAUCAACUUAGUUAUCACGUAAAUCUUCGGCUUCACGUGAACAACCUCGAGGAUUUUGACUCAUUCGCAACAUCAGCGUUUUCCAGAGAAGUGAGUUGAUAUGGGUCCACCAGUGACUGGGAUUUCUGCUUAGAUAUUUUUUUUCCAGCAAAUGCUUGUCUGCGCAGUCUGUUUAUUCAUCGCGCGAAUAGGUGGCAACACUGACAUUAGCAUGGACUGCGACGGAUGCAUCACACCGACGCUUUCCCGACAGAGUGAGCCAUGUCAUCGUGUGCCGGCCGCCCCUACUUCAUGGGCUUCAUGGACUGCAUGGCCUCUCGAGCCCGUGCUUCCGGUUCUCGCCGACUUGCAGUCCGGCUGCCCUCGAGCUUCGCGCGAUAUUUUUCAUCGAAGAAAUAAAGUUGCUGUUGCAAACAAC
Molecule: non-coding RNA, 5416 nt
Organism: Dermacentor albipictus
Lineage: Eukaryota; Metazoa; Arthropoda; Arachnida; Ixodida; Ixodidae
Source: RefSeq, a predicted model, not a curated record